Molecule: ribosomal RNA, 253 nt
Filed under: uncultured bacterium
Lineage: Bacteria
Description: partial 16S ribosomal RNA
Rfam family: Bacterial small subunit ribosomal RNA
Source: RNAcentral
UACGUAGGUGGCAAGCGUUGUCCGGAUUUACUGGGCGUAAAGGGCGUGCAGGCGGUCUGUUAAGUCUAGGGUGAAAGCUCCCGGCUCAACUGGGAGAGGUCCUUGGAUACUGGCGGACUUGAGGGAGGCAGAGGAAAGUGGAAUUCCCGGUGUAGUGGUGAUAUGCGUAGAUAUCGGGAGGAACACCAGUGGCGAAGGCGGUUCUCUGGGCCUUACCUGACGCUGAGGAGCGAAAGCGUGGGGAGCGAACAGG